CCAAAUACCCCAAAAUAUACCCUCAAAUACCCCAAAAAUUCACCCAAAAUACCCCAAAAAUUCACCAAAAAUACAGGCCAAAACUCCCUAAAUUCACCCCAAAAACACACCCCAAAUACCCCAAAAAUUCACCCCAAAUGCCCCAAAAAUUCACCAAAAAUACAGCCUGAAUACAGCCCAAAAUACCCCAAAUUCACCCCAAAAACACACCCCAAAUGCACCCUCAAAUAUGCCAAAAACACACCCCAAAUGCCCCAAAAAUUCACCAAAAAUACAGCCCAAAACUCCCCAAAUUCACCCCAAAAAUACACCCCAAAUGCCCCAAAAAUUCACCCAAAAUACCCCAAAAAUUCACCCAAAAUACCCCAAAAAUUCACCCAAAAUACAACCCAAAUACAGCCUAAAAAAGCCCAAAUUCACCCCAAAAACACAUCCCAAAUACCCCAAAAUAUACCCUCAAAUACCCCAAAAAUUCACCCAAAAUACAGCCCAAAACUCCCCAAAUUCACCCCAAAAAUUCACCCCAAAUGCCCCAAAAUACACCUAAAAAUACACCCAAAAUACCCCAAAUCCACCCCAAAAAUCCACCCAAAAUCCUCCAAAAAUUCCCAAAUUUUUAGGAAAAACCCCAAAAAAUCCCAAAUUUUUAGGAAAAACCCCCAAAAAUUCCCAAAUUUUUCCACAAAAAAAACCCCAAAUUUUUUAAGAAAAACCCCAAAUAUCCCGAAUUUUUUAGGAAAACCCCCAAAAAUUCCCAAAUUUUUUAGGAAAAACCCCAAAUUUUUUAGGAAAAACCCCCCAAAAUUCCCAAAUUUUUUCUCAAACACCCUUAAAUUUUUAGGAAAAACCAAAAAAAUUCCCGAAUUUUUAGUAAAAACCCCCCAAAAAAUCCCGAAUUUUUCCACAAAAAAACCCCAAAUUUUUUAGGAAAAACCCAAAAAAUUCCCAAAUUUUUAGUAAAAACCCCCCAAAAAAUCCCAAAUAUUUCCAAAAAAAACCCCAAAUUUUUUAGUAAAAACCCAAAAAAUUCCCAAAUUUUUAGUAAAAACCCCAAAAAACCCCAAAUUUUUCCACAAAACCCCAAAUUUUUUAGGAAAACCCCCAAAAAAUCCCAACUUUCUGGGGAAAAACCCCCAAAAAUCCCAAAUUUUUCCACAAAAAACCCCAAAUUUUUUAGUAAAAACCCCAAAAAAUCCCAAAUUUUUAGUAAAAAACCCCAAAAAUCCCAAAUUUUGGGGGAAAAACCCCCAAAAAUUCCCAAAUUUUUUCUCAAACACCCUUAAAUUUUUAGGAAAAACCCAAAAAAUUCCCGAAUUUUUAGUAAAAACCCCCCAAAAAUACCAAGUUUUUCCACAAAAAACCCCAAAUUUUUUAGGAAAAACCCAAAAAAUUCCCAAAUUUUUAGUAAAAACCCCAAAAAACCCCAAAUUUUUCCACAAAACCCCAAAUUUUUUAGGAAAACCCCCAAAAAAUCCCAAAUUUUUAGUAAAAAACCCCAAAAAUCCCAAAUUUUGGGGGAAAAACCCCCAAAAAUUCCCAAAUUUUUUCUCAAACACCCUUAAAUUUUUAGGAAAAACCCAAAAAAUUCCCGAAUUUUUAGUAAAAACCCCCCAAAAAUACCAAGUUUUUCCACAAAAAACCCCAAAUUUUUUAGGAAAAACCCCAAAUUUUUCCACAAAAAACCCCAGAUUUUUUAGUAAAAACCCCCCAAAACUCCCCAUUUUUUCGGAAAAACCCCAAAUUCGGGUGUUUUUUUUGGCAGCAAUGCAACGACGUGGGGCUGAUGGCGUACCUGGGCACCAUCACCAAAACCUGCAACACCAUGAACCAGUUCGUCAACAAAUUCAACGUGCUCUACGACCGGCAGGGCAUCGGGCGCCGCAUGCGAGGGCUCUUCUUCUGAGACGAAAACGCACGGGAACGGGCAAAAACGGGCAAAAACACACAAAAACGCACGGAAACGGGCAAAAACGGGAGAAAAACGGGCAAAAACGACACCGAAACCCACGGGAACCGGCGGAAAAACGCACGGGAACGGGCAAAAACGGGCAAAAACGGGACAAAAACGGACAAAAAUGGACAGAAAUGGACAGAAAUGGACAGAAACGACACAAAAACGCACGGAAACGGGCAAAAACCGCAUGGAAAUGGACAAAAACAGGACAAAAAUGGACAGAAAUAGACAGAAACGACACAAAAACACACGGGAAAGGGGGAAAAACGGGAGAAAAACGGGACAAAACGGACAAAAAUGGACAGAAACGACACAAAAACGGACAGAAACGGGCGGAAACCGCACGGGAACGGGCAAAAAUGGACAAAAAUGGGACAAAAACAGACAAAAAUGGACAGAAACGGACGGAAAUGGACAGAAACGGGACAAAAAUGGGACAAAAAUGGACAAAAACAACCCAAAAAUGGACAAAGACAGAAAUGGACAGAAAAAUGGGACAAAAAUGGACAAAAAUGUGACAAAAACGGACAGAAACAGACAGAAAUGACCCAAAAAUGACCCAGAAUGACCCAAAAACGGCCCAAAACCGCACGGAAAUGGACAGAAGCGACGCAAAAAUGGACAAAGAAGACACAAAAAUGGACAGAAACGGACAAAAAUGGACAAAAAAGACACAAAACCUGCCCAAAAACAGCCCAAAACAGCCCAAAAAUGACCCAAGACCAGCCCAACCUGCCCAAAAACAGCCCAAAACAGCCCAAAAAUGACCCAAGACCAGCCCAAAAACGGCCAAAAAUGACCCAAAAAUGGCCAAAAACGACCCAAAAACGGCCCCAGAUGGAGAAACGGCACCGGAAUCCACAGAAAUGGACCCAGAAUGACAGAAAUAGACCCAAAAUCCAUAAAAAUCGACCCAAAAUGCACAAAAAUGGACCCAAAAUGCACAAAAACGGAAUCAGAACGGCCAGGAAAGAACCCAAAAUUCGUAAAAAUGGCCCCAAAAUUGACCCAGGGCCACAGAAAGCCCCAAAAUUCAGAGAAAUUGACCCAAAAUCCUCAGGAAUGGCCCCAAAAUUGAUAAAAAUGGCCCCAAAAUUGAUAAAAAUGACCCAAAAUUGAUAAAAAUGGCCCCAAAAUUCCCAAAAUCCCCCCCAGAAUUCCCGAAAUUCCCGGAAUUCCCCGGGAUCGGCGCCGGGUUUGGGUCAAUAAAGUUGAGUUUCAAGAAAAAAAGGAAUUUGGG
Cyanistes caeruleus (blue tit) is the source of this 3194-nucleotide long non-coding RNA. The record is from Ensembl. Lineage: Eukaryota; Metazoa; Chordata; Aves; Passeriformes; Paridae.